RNAcentral lists this ribosomal RNA (1404 nucleotides) under uncultured bacterium. Its description in RNAcentral is "partial 16S ribosomal RNA". It matches the Rfam family "Bacterial small subunit ribosomal RNA". The record is from RNAcentral.
AGAGUUUGAUCCUGGCUCAGGAUGAACGCUAGCGGCAGGCUUAACACAUGCAAGUCGAGGGGCAGCGGGGAGGAAGCUUGCUUUCUCCGCCGGCGACCGGCGCACGGGUGAGUAACACGUAUGCAACCUGCCCCUGUCAGGGGGACAACCCGCCGAAAGGCGGGCUAAACCCGCGUACAUGCCACCGGGGCAUCCCGGAGGCAGGAAAGGCUUCGGCCGGACAGGGAUGGGCAUGCGGCGCAUUAGGCAGUAGGCGGGGUAACGGCCCACCUAACCGACGAUGCGUAGGGGUUCUGAGAGGAAGGUCCCCCACACUGGUACUGAGACACGGACCAGACUCCUACGGGAGGCAGCAGUGAGGAAUAUUGGUCAAUGGUCGGGAGACUGAACCAGCCAAGCCGCGUGAGGGAGGAAGGUACAGAGUAUCGUAAACCUCUUUUGUCAGGGAACAAAGGCGGGGACGUGUCCCCGGAUGAGUGUACCUGAAGAAAAAGCAUCGGCUAACUCCGUGCCAGCAGCCGCGGUAAUACGGAGGAUGCGAGCGUUAUCCGGAUUUAUUGGGUUUAAAGGGUGCGCAGGCGGUCUGUUAAGUCAGCGGUCAAAGCCCGGGGCUCAACCCCGGCCCGCCGUUGAAACUGGCAGUCUCGAGUUGGAGAGAAGUAUGCGGAAUGCGCGGUGUAGCGGUGAAAUGCAUAGAUAUCGCGCAGAACUCCGAUUGCGAAGGCAGCAUGCCGGCUCCACACUGACGCUGAGGCACGAAAGCGUGGGUAUCGAACAGGAUUAGAUACCCUGGUAGUCCACGCAGUAAACGAUGAAUGCUGGCUGUCCGGGGGGAUUGACCCCUGGGUGGCGAAGCGAAAGCGAUAAGCAUUCCACCUGGGGAGUACGCCGGCAACGGUGAAACUCAAAGGAAUUGACGGGGGCCCGCACAAGCGGAGGAACAUGUGGUUUAAUUCGAUGAUACGCGAGGAACCUUACCCGGGCUCAAACGGGGAGUGACUCAGGCAGAGACGCCUGUUUCCCACGGGACACUCCCCGAGGUGCUGCAUGGUUGUCGUCAGCUCGUGCCGUGAGGUGUCGGCUUAAGUGCCAUAACGAGCGCAACCCCCGCGUGCAGUUGCUAACAGAUAACGCUGAGGACUCUGCACGGACUGCCGGCGCAAGCCGCGAGGAAGGCGGGGAUGACGUCAAAUCAGCACGGCCCUUACGUCCGGGGCGACACACGUGUUACAAUGGGUGGUACAGCGGGAAGCCAGGCGGCGACGCCGAGCGGAACCCGAAAUCCACUCUCAGUUCGGAUCGGAGUCUGCAACCCGACUCCGUGAAGCUGGAUUCGCUAGUAAUCGCGCAUCAGCCAUGGCGCGGUGAAUACGUUCCCGGGUCUUGCACACACCGCCCGUCAAG